This 321-nucleotide unclassified non-coding RNA is filed under the name Hevea brasiliensis (rubber tree). The record is from RNAcentral. Lineage: Eukaryota; Viridiplantae; Streptophyta; Magnoliopsida; Malpighiales; Euphorbiaceae.
AAACGGAUCAAACCCUAGUAACGUACUCAUCCAGAAGCUUAAUGUACCACUUAAACCUGUAGGCAGCGACUGAGUAAAGAUGAAAAUGGACGUAACCAUGGGGGAACCCGGCGAGAUACUGCCGGAGCACAAGCCGGAAAGGUCGCCGCACGAGGUUCUGCAGCAAAGCAAAGCUUCAGUAGAGGAAUUCGUCUCGAAAAUGCUCUCUAUGAAGAAAGAAAGCACGCCGAAAUCUGAAAUUCGCGAACUUGUCACUCAGAUUUUCAUCAACUUCGUCUCUCUCCGUCAGGCAAAUAGAUCAAUAUUGCUCGAAGAGGAUCG